RNAcentral lists this long non-coding RNA (557 nucleotides) under Homo sapiens (human). RNAcentral describes it as "non-protein coding lnc-BORA-10:1". The record is from RNAcentral. Lineage: Eukaryota; Metazoa; Chordata; Mammalia; Primates; Hominidae.
UGUUUUUAAUUGAAUACUAAUGUCUUAAUUAUACUUUCAUGCACUAUUUUUAAGUCUUAUUGACAGUUUCUCCUUUUGCUCUUUCUCCUGCCACCGUGUAAGAUGUGCCUUGCUUCCCCUUUGCCUUCUGCCAUGAUUGUAAAUUUCCUGAGGCCACCCCACCCAUUCUUAAUUCUAAUGGGUUAACGUCAAUUUGUCUGUUCUAAAAUUUUAAGUCACAGUGGGUAUUGGUUGCCAUUUCCCCCUUGGCCCAUACAUCAGAUCUGUUUCCUCUGUUCUCCUAAGCUUCUGAUUCACAUUCUUCCUCUACACUCUAUCAUCUGGUUUUAUACUUAAAAAGUCACCAUCCUUAGACUCCUUGACAUUUUGAAACUCCUGAAUGCCAGAUGUUAUGUGAAACUCUGGAGAAAUAGUAGCAAGCAAGACUCACAUGCCUCCUGCCCUCACAGAGCUCCAUGAUCUGGUGAAAGUGCCAGAUAUUUAAACCCAUGGAUGUGUGCACACAAAAUAACAAUUCUCUCAAGCGUUGUGAAGAAAAGUCACAGAGCACUACAAAA